CAGCUUCCCCUGGCCCCCCCAGCCGCCACGUCCUGAAACCAAAAGUUCCCGGGAUGAAUGUCUGGCUCCC
Molecule: long non-coding RNA, 70 nt
Filed under: Spermophilus dauricus (Daurian ground squirrel)
Lineage: Eukaryota; Metazoa; Chordata; Mammalia; Rodentia; Sciuridae
Description: H19 conserved region 2 (ENSSDAG00000008187.1)
Rfam family: H19 conserved region 2
Source: RNAcentral